Molecule: ribosomal RNA, 898 nt
Filed under: Pleuropassalora armatae
Lineage: Eukaryota; Fungi; Ascomycota
Description: LSU rRNA
Rfam family: Eukaryotic large subunit ribosomal RNA
Source: RNAcentral
UAGCAUAUCAAUAAGCGGAGGAAAAGAAACCAACAGGGAUUGCCUCAGUAACGGCGAGUGAAGCGGCAACAGCUCAAAUUUGAAAUCUGGCGCACGCCCGAGUUGUAAUUUGCAGAGGAUGCUUCGGGGCAGCGGCCGGUCUAAGUCCCUUGGAACAGGGCGUCAGAGAGGGUGAGAAUCCCGUAUGCGACCGGCGCGCACCCCCCACGUAGCUCCUUCGACGAGUCGAGUUGUUUGGGAAUGCAGCUCUAAAUGGGAGGUAAAUUUCUUCUAAGGCUAAAUACCGGCCAGAGACCGAUAGCGCACAAGUAGAGUGAUCGAAAGAUGAAAAGCACUUUGGAAAGAGAGUUAAAAAGCACGUGAAAUUGUUGAAAGGGAAGCGCCCGCCCCCAGACUUCGCGGCGGUGUUCCGCCGGGCUUCUGCCCGGUCCACUCGCCGCCGCGAGGCCAUCAUCGUCUGGGCCCGUCGGAGAAGACCUCGGGAAUGUAGCUCCCCCUCGGGGGAGUGUUAUAGCCCGUGGUGAUGCGACGCGGCCCGGGCGAGGUCCGCGCCCCGGCAAGGAUGAUGGCGUAAUGGGGGUCGGCGGCCCGUCUUGAAACACGGACCAAGGAGUCUAACAUCUAUGCGAGUGUUCGGGUGUCAAACCCCUACGCGGAAUGAAAGUGAACGGAGGUGGGAACCGCAAGGUGCACCAUCGACCGAUCCUGAUGUCCUCGGAUGGAUUUGAGUAAGAGCAUAGCUGUUGGGACCCGAAAGAUGGUGAACUAUGCCUGAAUAGGGUGAAGCCAGAGGAAACUCUGGUGGAGGCUCGCAGCGGUUCUGACGUGCAAAUCGAUCGUCAAAUUUGGGUAUAGGGGCGAAAGACUAAUCGAACCAUCUAGUAGCUGGUUCCUGCGA